GGAAGGGGUGUAUUUAUUAGAUAAAAAACCAACGCCCUUCGGGGCUCCUUGGUGAAUCAUAAUAACUUAACGAAUCGCAUGGCCUUGCGCCGGCGAUGGUUCAUUCAAAUUUCUGCCCUAUCAACUUUCGAUGGUAGGAUAGUGGCCUACCAUGGUGGCAACGGGUAACGGGGAAUUAGGGUUCGAUUCCGGAGAGGGAGCCUGAGAAACGGCUACCACAUCCAAGGAAGGCAGCAGGCGCGCAAAUUACCCAAUCCCGAUACGGGGAGGUAGUGACAAUAAAUACUGAUACGGGGCUCUUUUGGGUCUCGUAAUUGGAAUGAGAACAAUUUAAAUCCCUUAACGAGGAACAAUUGGAGGGCAAGUCUGGUGCCAGCAGCCGCGGUAAUUCCAGCUCCAAUAGCGUAUAUUAAAGUUGUUGCAGUUAAAAAGCUCGUAGUUGAAUUUUGGGCCCGACUGGGCGGUCUUGCCCCGUUGUAAGCACUGCUCGCCUCACGGUUCAGGUUGGGCCUUUCCUUCUGGCUAGCCAGCUGCCUUUCACUGGGUGGGCUGGGGAACCAGGACUUUUAC
Molecule: ribosomal RNA, 570 nt
Filed under: uncultured fungus
Lineage: Eukaryota; Fungi
Description: bacterial SSU rRNA
Rfam family: Eukaryotic small subunit ribosomal RNA
Source: RNAcentral